Molecule: ribosomal RNA, 67 nt
Filed under: Yamadazyma nakazawae
Lineage: Eukaryota; Fungi; Ascomycota; Pichiomycetes; Serinales; Debaryomycetaceae
Description: partial 28S ribosomal RNA
Rfam family: Eukaryotic large subunit ribosomal RNA
Source: RNAcentral
UUGACCUCAAAUCAGGUAGGAAUACCCGCUGAACUUAAGCAUAUCAAUAAGCGGAGGAAAAGAAACC